GGGGUCAAAAAAUUAUGGGGCAGGAUUAGCCACGUGUUACUCACCCGUCCGCCACAUCGUUCAAAAUUAAAUCAAGAUGCAAGCACCUUUCAAUAAUCAGAACUCGUUCGACUUGCAUGUAUUAGGCACGCCGCCAGCGUUCAUCCUGAGCCAUGAUCAAACUCACGG
RNAcentral lists this ribosomal RNA (168 nucleotides) under Lacticaseibacillus rhamnosus. RNAcentral's name for it is "Lactobacillus rhamnosus partial 16S ribosomal RNA". The record is from RNAcentral. Lineage: Bacteria; Bacillati; Bacillota; Bacilli; Lactobacillales; Lactobacillaceae.